RNAcentral lists this ribosomal RNA (460 nucleotides) under uncultured bacterium. Its description in RNAcentral is "partial 16S ribosomal RNA". It matches the Rfam family "Bacterial small subunit ribosomal RNA", at positions 338 to 795 of the family's 1533-position model. The record is from RNAcentral.
CCUACGGGAGGCAGCAGUGAGGAAUAUUGGUCAAUGGACGAGAGUCUGAACCAGCCAAGCCGCGUGAAGGAUGACUGCCCUAUGAGUUGUAAACUUCUUUUAUAUGGGAAUAAAAUGUUCCACGUGUGGGUUUUUGUAUGUACCAUAUGAAUAAGGAUCGGCUAACUCCGUGCCAGCAGCCGCGGUAAUACGGAGGAUCCGAGCGUUAUCCGGAUUUAUUGGGUUUAAAGGGAGCGUAGGUGGAUGGAUAAGUUAGUUGUGAAAGUGUGCGGCUCAACCGUAAAAUUGCAGUUGAAACUGGCAGUCUUGAGUGCAGUAGAGGUGGGCGGAAUGCGUGGUGUAGCGGUGAAAUGCUUAGAGAUCACGAAGAACACCGAUUGCGAAGGCAGCUCACUGGACUGCAACUGACACUGAGGCUCGAAAGUGUGGGUAGCAAACAGGAUUAGAUACCCGUGUAGUC